GUGUCCUACGGGACGCAGCAGUGAGGAAUAUUGGUCAAUGGAAGAGAUCCUGAACCAGCCAAGCCGCGUGAGGGAAGACGGCCCUAUGGGUUGUACACCUCUUUUGUCGGGGAGCAAGACCCGCCUCGUGCAGGCGGAGCGAGAGUACCCGAAGAAAAAGCAUCGGCUAACUCCGUGCCAGCAGCCGCGGUAAUACGGUGGAUGCGAGCGUUAUCCGGAUUUAUUGGGUUUAAAGGGUG
Molecule: ribosomal RNA, 239 nt
Filed under: uncultured bacterium
Lineage: Bacteria
Description: partial 16S ribosomal RNA
Rfam family: Bacterial small subunit ribosomal RNA
Source: RNAcentral